This 449-nucleotide ribosomal RNA is filed under the name uncultured bacterium. Its description in RNAcentral is "partial 16S ribosomal RNA". It matches the Rfam family "Bacterial small subunit ribosomal RNA", at positions 354 to 796 of the family's 1533-position model. The record is from RNAcentral.
GUCGAGAAUUUUUCACAAUGGGGGAAACCCUGAUGGAGCGACGCCGCGUGGGGGAUGAAUGGCUUCGGCCCGUAAACCCCUGUCAUUUGCGAUCAACCGUUGUUAUUUAAAAGAUGACAGCCUGAUAGUAGCGAAAGAGGAAGGGACGGCUAACUCUGUGCCAGCAGCCGCGGUAAUACAGAGGUCCCGAGCGUUGUUCGGAUUCACUGGGCGUAAAGGGUGCGUAGGUGGUGAGGUGUGUCGGAUGUGAAAUCUCGGAGCUCAACUCCGAAACUGCAUUGGAAACUACCUUGCUGGAGGGUUGGAGGGGGGACUGGAAUACUUGGUGUAGCAGUGAAAUGCGUAGAUAUCAAGUGGAACACCAGUGGCGAAGGCGAGUCCCUGGACAACUCCUGACACUGAGGCACGAAAGCUAGGGGAGCAAACAGGAUUAGAAACCCCAGUAGUCC